AGUGAACGCUGGCGGUAGGCCUAACACAUGCAAGUCGAACGGCAGCACAGUAAGAGCUUGCUCUUACGGGUGGCGAGUGGCGGACGGGUGAGGAAUACAUCGGAAUCUACUUUUUCGUGGGGGAUAACGUAGGGAAACUUACGCUAAUACCGCAUACGACCUACGGGUUAAAGCAGGGGAUCUUCGGACCUUGCGCGAUUGAAUGAGCCGAUGUCGGAUUAGCUAGUUGGCGGGGUAAAGGCCCACCAAGGCGACGAUCCGUAGCUGGUCUGAGAGGAUGAUCAGCCACACUGGAACUGAGACACGGUCCAGACUCCUACGGGAGGCAGCAGUGGGGAAUAUUGGACAAUGGGCGCAAGCCUGAUCCAGCCAUACCGCGUGGGUGAAGAAGGCCUUCGGGUUGUAAAGCCCUUUUGUUGGGAAAGAAAAGCAGCAGGUGAAUACCCCGAUGUUCUGACGGUACCCAAAGAAUAAGCACCGGCUAACUUCGUG
This 492-nucleotide ribosomal RNA is filed under the name uncultured bacterium. Its description in RNAcentral is "partial 16S ribosomal RNA". It matches the Rfam family "Bacterial small subunit ribosomal RNA", at positions 29 to 507 of the family's 1533-position model. The record is from RNAcentral.